GGAGGGGGUGGGGACGGUGGGGAGGAAGGAGGGGGAAAGGCACCAACCAGCAGCCGCUCCAGCCCUGCCGAAGUUUCACUUUUUGUCUGUGGGUUCGCUCCCGGGCCCCGCGCGAGCUUUCCCGGGAUAAGUAGCUUUAGCGAGCGGGGAGAGCCGGGCGCUGCAAGGAUCGUGACCUCUGGCUGUGAGAAGCGACAAGACGGCCCUGGCUCACCUCACAGCCAGGAAGAACACAAGCUAAUUUCCAGCAUCUCUCCUCUGCUGCUUUGAGAAUUGAAGAGAAGCCUGACAACUAGUGUGUUGGGAAAGGCCUGAAGGAAGCCAAACCAGCUCCUGCACAGUUGUGAUCCCUUCAGCCAGGGUGAUCCUCAGCAAGACUUCCGGUAUGUAAAUGAGCCUCAUCUGCUGUCUCUGCCUGCUGCCUGCUGUCUGGGAUACCAGAAUUCUAGGUUGAGCCUCUGUGAGCUGGGCUUGGCGGUUUAAUUGGUUUACGAUUACUAUCGUUUUUUGGUAUCUGCUACUUGAAAUAU
RNAcentral lists this long non-coding RNA (530 nucleotides) under Castor canadensis (American beaver). RNAcentral's name for it is "lncRNA (ENSCCNG00000012343.1)". The record is from RNAcentral. Lineage: Eukaryota; Metazoa; Chordata; Mammalia; Rodentia; Castoridae.